This 229-nucleotide ribosomal RNA is filed under the name uncultured bacterium. RNAcentral's name for it is "partial 16S ribosomal RNA". It matches the Rfam family "Bacterial small subunit ribosomal RNA", at positions 568 to 796 of the family's 1533-position model. The record is from RNAcentral.
UACGUAGGCGGAAAAUUAAGUCAGUAGUGAAAUCCUGCAGCUUAACUGUAGAACUGUUAUUGAUACUGGUUUUCUUGAAUAUAGUUGAGGUAGGCGGAAUGUGUAAUGUAGCGGUGAAAUGCUUAGAUAUUACACAGAACACCGAUUGCGAAGGCAGCUUACUAAGCUAUGAUUGACGCUGAGGUACGAAAGCGUGGGGAGCGAACAGGAUUAUAUACCCUGGUAGUCC